UUUGAUGUAAAUUGAUAUAUGUUUGGAUACACUUUCUUAAAAGCGAUUCUUACGAGUUGAUGUCGUUUUGAUAG
Molecule: microRNA precursor, 74 nt
Filed under: Medicago truncatula (barrel medic)
Lineage: Eukaryota; Viridiplantae; Streptophyta; Magnoliopsida; Fabales; Fabaceae
Description: MIR5272 microRNA precursor family
Rfam family: MIR5272 microRNA precursor family
Source: Rfam by way of RNAcentral